RNAcentral lists this ribosomal RNA (429 nucleotides) under Bacteroidota bacterium. RNAcentral's name for it is "Bacteroidetes bacterium partial 16S ribosomal RNA". It matches the Rfam family "Bacterial small subunit ribosomal RNA", at positions 355 to 776 of the family's 1533-position model. Lineage: Bacteria; Pseudomonadati; Bacteroidota. The record is from RNAcentral.
UAGGGAAUCUUCCGCAAUGGACGCAAGUCUGACGGAGCAACGCCGCGUGAGUGAAGAAGGAUUUCGGUUCGUAAAACUCUGUUGUUAGAGAAGAACAGCGCAUAGAGUAACUGUUAUGCGUGUGACGGUAUCUAACCAGAAAGCCACGGCUAACUACGUGCCAGCAGCCGCGGUAAUACGUAGGUGGCAAGCGUUGUCCGGAUUUAUUGGGCGUAAAGCGAGCGCAGGCGGUCAAUUAAGUCUGAUGUGAAAGCCCCCGGCUCAACCGGGGAGGGUCAUUGGAAACUGGUUGAAUUGAGUGCAGAAGAGGAGAGUGGAAUUCCAUGUGUAGCGGUGAAAUGCGUAGAUAUAUGGAGGAACACCAGUGGCGAAGGCGACUCUCUGGUCUGUAACUGACGCUGAGGCUCGAAAGCGUGGGUAGCAAACAGG